Molecule: ribosomal RNA, 2917 nt
Filed under: archaeon
Lineage: Archaea
Description: 23S ribosomal RNA
Rfam family: Archaeal large subunit ribosomal RNA
Source: RNAcentral
UUUAACACAUCUAGGUACGCUACUAGGUGGAUGACUCGGUUCGAAACGCCGAUGAAGGACGUGACAAGCUACGAUAUGCUUUGGCGAGUUGAACGUAAGCUUUGAACCAAAGAUUUCCGAAUGAGACUUCUCUCUUUGAUGGCUCUUUGGAGCCGGGGAACGCAGGGAAUUGAAGCGUCUUAGUACCUGCAGGAAAAGAAAUCAACCGAGAUACCGUUAGUAAGAGCGACUGAAAGCGGUCCAGUACAAACUGAAUCCGUUGCCGUAAGGUAAUGGAGAUGUGGUGUUGUAGGACUUCUCUUACGGCCUUAAUUCUGACUCGAAGUUUCCUGGAAAGGAACACACUAUAGGGUGAUAGUCCCGUAGAGGAAAGAAGAAAGGUCUUAGGAAGUAUCCUGAGUACUACUCCUCGAUAUUGGAGUGGGAAUCUGGGGGGCAUUAACCUCUAAUACUAAAUACGUUUCGAAACCGAUAGAAAACAGUACCGUGAGGGAAAGUUGAAAAGAACCCUUAACAGGGAGUUAAAAGACUCUGAAACCUAGUAGUUAUAGUAUGGUGGUGCUUUUAGGAGUUCCACCGUGCGUUUUGAAUAACGGGCCAGGGAGUGUGUUUAUGUGGCGAGGAUAACCCGAAAAGGGGCAUCCUAAGCGAAAGCAAGAUCCCGCAGCAUGCGAGGGGAGUGGUAUGAAAGUGCCAUAAGUCACAUGGACACGACCUGAAACCGAGCGAUCUAUUCCUGGGCAAGAUGAAGCGAGGGUAAAACUUCGUGGAGGUCUGAAGAGGUUCUACGUGCAAGUGUUCUUCUGACCUGGGAAUAGGGGUGAAAAGCCAAUCGAGCUCGGCGAUAGCAGGUUCCUGCCGAAAUUGACCUUAGUCAAGUCUCAGACGAGAUGGUUAUGGUUGUAGAGCUACGGAUAGGAAGCUUAGGCGGGGAAACCUGUCGGCCUUCUGUCCAACUCCGAAUGCCAUAACGUUGUAGACUCUGGGAAACAGGGAAUCUUGGGGUAAACUUGAUUUCCGAAAGGGGAACAACCCAGCCUAUGGUUAAGGCCCCUAAAUAUCAGCUAAGUGAGAAAGGGUUAACGGUGUCCGUGAUCUGAGACAGCGAGGAGGUUGGCUUAGAAGCAGCCAUCCUUUAAAAAGUGCGUAACAGCUUACUCGUUGAGGUCGUGGGCCCGGAAGAUUGACGGGUCUAAGCUGAUUGCCGAUACCAUAGACCACGAUAAGUGGGUAUAGGCAGGCGUCUUUAGAGGGCAGAAGCUUCUCCGUGAGGAGAAGUGGACCUCUAUGGAAUGAAAAUCCUGGUGAGAGUAGGAUCCUAGCAGGGUGUGAAUCCCUGUCAUCGUAAGGGCAAGGGUUCCUUGGCGAUGUUCAUCAGCCAAGGGUUAGUCGGUCCUAACUGUACUCCUAACGGAUGUACGGGAAAGGGAAAGUGGUUAAUACUCCACUACUACUUUGUUAUACGUGGCAACACAAGCGUUGUUUCUGACGCUUUGGGAUAAGCUAACACUUCUUGUCUGAAGUGUUAAUGCAGAUAAGUCUGGGGAGUAUCGUAAUGAUGAGAACCAGAGUAAACUGUAGAAUAGCAGGCCUAUGGUCUGUUUGGCUGAUUUCUGGAGUCCCUGAAAAGGGAACAACGAUAGAUACAAGGUAACCGUACCCAGAACCGGCACAGGUGCCCCUAGGUGAGAAGCCUAAGAUGUGUGAGUUUAAUCUAGGUUAGGGAAUUCGGCAAAUUAGUCCCGUACCUUCGGUAUAAGGGAUCCCUGCUUUCGUAUCCGUAUGGAUGCGAUGUCAGGGCUCAGUAACAAAGGCGGUCCGACUGUUUAACAAAAACUUAACUUUCUGCUAGGCGGUAACGCUGUGUAUAGAAGGUGACAUCUGCCCAGUGCCAGUACUUUAAGCUUCGUUUCAACGGAGUGAAGAGCUGGUAAACGGCGGGAGUAACUAUAACUCUCUUAAGGUAGCGUAAUACCUUGCCGGUUGAAUGCCGGCUUGCAUGAAUGGUGUAACGAGAUCGCCACUGUCCCAACCUAGAGUCUCCCGAAUACACUUUCCUGGUGCAAAGGCCAGGGACUUCCAGUGGGAAGCGAAGACCCCGUGAAACUUUACUGUAGCCUGUCGCUGUGUUGUGGUUCGUGCUAUAUAGCGUAAGUGGGAGCCGUUUGAGGCCAAUGUCGUCAGAUACUGGCUUAGGCAACGAUGUAACACCACUUUUCAUGAAUUACAUCACUUACCUUCUUUUGAAGGGACACCGGUUGGUGGACAGUUUGGCUGGGGUGGCACGCUGUUGAAAAGAUAUCAAUAGCGCCCAACGGUUGGCUCAUCCGGUUUAGAAAUCCGGAGUUGAGUGCAAGGGCAUAAGCCAGCCUGAUUGAAAUUCGAACAUAAAGAACUUCAAACACGAAAGUGUGGCCUAGCGAACUCCCAUGCCUUCUUAAUGAGGGCUGGGAAUGACUGAAAAGUUACUCCGGGGAUAACUGAGUUGUCGCGCCCGAGAGUUCAUAUCGACGGCGCGGUUUGCUACUUCGAUGUCGGCUCAUCCUAUCCUGGCGGUGCAGAAGCUGCCAAGGGUGGGGGUGUUCACCCAUUAAAAGGGUUCGUGAGCUGGGUUCAGAACGCUGUGAGGCAGUUUGUUUGAUAUCUACUGGGAGUGUUGGGUGUCUGAAAGGAAGGACCUUUUAGUACGAGAGGAACGAAGGUUCGUAGCCUCUGGUCGACCGGUUAUCUGACAAGGUACGCCGGGCAGCUACGCUAUAAGCGAUAAGUGCUGAAAGCAUCUAAGCACGAAGUGCCCCUUGAAAAGAGACACCUUAGAACACGGCAAGAACAGCCGUUUGAUAGAAGCGAUGUGUAAGUACCAAGGCAACGAGGUAUUCAGCAUGCGCUUACUAACGUUCACAAUUUUUGUGUUAAA